GACGAACGCUGGCGGCGUGCUUAACACAUGCAAGUCGAACGAAGAGCGAUGGAAGCUUGCUUCUAUCAAUCUUAGUGGCGAACGGGUGAGUAACGCGUAAUCAACCUGCCCUUCAGAGGGGGACAACAGUUGGAAACGACUGCUAAUACCGCAUACGAUCUAAACUCGGCAUCGAGGAUAGAUGAAAGGUGGCCUCUACAUGUAAGCUAUCACUGAAGGAGGGGAUUGCGUCUGAUUAGCUAGUUGGAGGGGUAACGGCCCACCAAGGCGAUGAUCAGUAGCCGGUCUGAGAGGAUGAACGGCCACAUUGGGACUGAGACACGGCCCAGACUCCUACGGGAGGCAGCAGUGGGGAAUCUUCCGCAAUGGACGAAAGUCUGACGGAGCAACGCCGCGUGAGUGAUGACGGCCUUCGGGUUGUAAAGCUCUGUUAAUCGGGACGAAAGGCCUUCUUGCGAAUAGUGAGAAGGAUAGA
This 475-nucleotide ribosomal RNA is filed under the name Veillonella parvula. Its description in RNAcentral is "bacterial SSU rRNA". It matches the Rfam family "Bacterial small subunit ribosomal RNA", at positions 28 to 472 of the family's 1533-position model. Lineage: Bacteria; Bacillati; Bacillota; Negativicutes; Veillonellales; Veillonellaceae. The record is from RNAcentral.